CAUCUCGAUGGAUUAAACUCGAGGGGAUUUUCAUAUCUGGCAGGGUUUAAGUGUACAGCUGGAGGACAGACCAUGACACCCCAACCAGCUGGAAUGGUAUAACCUACAUCAAUCGAAAAUUCUUAGUUAUGUAAUGGAGAAUGAGACAGGAUUUGAUGCAGUUUUUGGACAUAUCCACAUCAAGGAUACAGGGAGCCUGCUUAUAAGGUUGGAUUAUAUGCUAAUGCUUGCAUUUACGGUUACCAUGUACCAAAAUCUUAAACAUGCACAUAAGUACUUUUUGUAUUUUAAUAUACUACCUCCGUUUCAAAUAUUGUAUUGAUUUUACUUUUUAAAGUCAAAGUUUAUCAGAUUGACCAUGUAAAGGGUAAUUUGGAAGAAACGGGGUUGAGAAUCGACUUUUA
This is a long non-coding RNA of Beta vulgaris subsp. vulgaris (sugar beet), 404 nucleotides long. RefSeq lists it as uncharacterized. Lineage: Eukaryota; Viridiplantae; Streptophyta; Magnoliopsida; Caryophyllales; Amaranthaceae. The transcript is spliced from 2 exons. The record is from RefSeq and is a predicted model, not a curated record.